ACUCAAAUGAAUAGACGGGGGCCCGCACAAGCGGCGGAGCAUGCGGAUUAAUUCGAUGCAACGCGAAGAACCUUACCAAGGCUUGACAUACACGGAAAACUCACAGAGAUGUGGGGUCCGCAAGGGCCGUGUACAGGUGGUGCAUGGUUGUCGUCAGCUCGUGUCGUGAGAUGUUGGGUUAAGUCCCGCAACGAGCGCAACCCUUAUUCGAUGUUGCCAGCACGUUAUGGUGGGGACUCAUCGGAGACUGCCGGGGUCAACUCGGAGGAAGGUGGGGAUGAGGUCAAAUCAUCAUGCCCCUUAUGUCUUGGGCUUCACGCAUGCUACAAUGGCCGGUACAAAGGGCUGCGAAACCGUGAGGUGGAGCGAAUCCCAAAAAGCCGGUCUCAGUUCGGAUCGGGGUCUGCAACUCGACCCCGUGAAGUCGGAGUCGCUAGUAAUCGCAGAUCAGCAACGCUGCGGUGAAUACGUUCCCGGGCCUUGUACACACCGCCGU
Molecule: ribosomal RNA, 496 nt
Filed under: uncultured bacterium
Lineage: Bacteria
Description: partial 16S ribosomal RNA
Rfam family: Bacterial small subunit ribosomal RNA
Source: RNAcentral